Molecule: ribosomal RNA, 256 nt
Filed under: uncultured bacterium
Lineage: Bacteria
Description: partial 16S ribosomal RNA
Rfam family: Bacterial small subunit ribosomal RNA
Source: RNAcentral
UACGUAGGGACCAAGCGUUGUCCGGAAUCAUUGGGCGUAAAGGGCGCGUAGGUGGCCCGGUCAGUCUUUGGUGAAAGCGCGGGGCUCAACCCUGCGUCGGCCAGGGAUACUGCCGCGGCUCGAGCACUGUAGAGGCAGGCGGAAUUCCAGGUGUAGCGGUGGAAUGCGUAGAGAUCCGGAAGAACACCGGUGGCGAAGGCGGCCUGCUGGGCAGUUUUGCUGACACUGAGGCGCGACAGCGUGGGGAGCAAACAGG